This 528-nucleotide ribosomal RNA is filed under the name uncultured bacterium. Its description in RNAcentral is "bacterial SSU rRNA". It matches the Rfam family "Bacterial small subunit ribosomal RNA", at positions 777 to 1304 of the family's 1533-position model. The record is from RNAcentral.
AAUAGAUACCCAGGUAGUCCACGCCGUAAACGAUGUCGACUUGGAGGUUGUUCCCUUGAGGAGUGGCUUCCGGAGCUAACGCGUUAAGUCGACCGCCUGGGGAGUACGGCCGCAAGGUUAAAACUCAAAUGAAUUGACGGGGGCCCGCACAAGCGGUGGAGCAUGUGGUUUAAUUCGAUGCAACGCGAAGAACCUUACCUACUCUUGACAUCCAGAGAACUUAGCAGAGAUGCUUUGGUGCCUUCGGGAACUCUGAGACAGGUGCUGCAUGGCUGUCGUCAGCUCGUGUUGUGAAAUGUUGGGUUAAGUCCCGCAACGAGCGCAACCCUUAUCCUUUGUUGCCAGCGGUUCGGCCGGGAACUCAAAGGAGACUGCCAGUGAUAAACUGGAGGAAGGUGGGGAUGACGUCAAGUCAUCAUGGCCCUUACGGAGUAGGGCUACACACGUGCUACAAUGGCGUAUACAAAGAGAAGCGACCUCGCGAGAGCAAGCGGACCUCAUAAAGUACGUCGUAGUCCGGAUUGGAGU